CAGAUUUCCUGUUUCCACAGAGCGUAGUUCAAUUGCCUUCUCUCCCCAGCCCAUGACCUGAUUAGAUUGAAGUUCCUAGCCUGUAUAACAGGAUCCUGCUGCUCUAGGCUGCAAGGAAGACUGUCAUGAACAUCCCUGAACGCAGCAGUUUGAUGAGCACUAGGGCAGCACCUACAGCGCAGUUAGUAUCUACAAAGGUAGGUCCAGACCACACAAAGUGAAAAAGAUAAAAAUGAUACAGUACUCAGACACUUGCUGUUUUGAGUUACAACUGACACCACAUUAACCUUUUCAAACUUUGCUUUUGAACACACCAGAGGCAGGCACACUGUGGUUCUGGGGGCUGGGACAGCGAGGCAGGUGCGUAUAUGUAAACAGCAUGAAAGCAUUCUAUGGCUACGCUGUGGAGUAUAUAGGUCAUGUAGGUCCAGUAACAAAGACCUAAUCCACUUAUAAGUCUCCUUAUUUUUUCCACUAUGUGAAAUCUGCACUCAAGUUGUCGAUGUGCUAUGUCUGUAUCAGCUGUUUUCAUGCCUUUGGCAGAUUUCAACUUCAUAGCAUCCUUGCAGCUCUCAGAAAGAGCUCAAUUAGGCUCUGUUGCAACCUCUAGGUCAUCCAGGAUAGAAAGCCUGGAUCCGUAACUCCAGUUCUCCCAGCAGUAUUACAAUAGGAACAUAAUAAAAUAGAAACACCAAGUUUGGCCACUGAUGUUCUGCCAUUGGCCAGCCAAUACACUGAGAACUUGUCAAAUGACAAUGACAAAUUUCAGGUGAAAUACAACUAACAUAAAAACUCAUUCUUGUAGCAGAAUCGAAAGGUUCUUUCUCAAAUUACAUCUGUGGAAUAACUGGCCAAUAAAAGGCCCCAUUAUACCAUUUGUAGGGUUGUCAGUUAUGAGAAUAUAUCUAUACAUGGAAAUUAAUUUGAGGAUAGCAGGCUGUGAAUUCAAAGGUCAGUACUGAGUCUUGGUAAUCUUCCCAUGUGGGAGCACUUACAAGUGUUUCACAUGAAAUGUAAGCAGAUUAGAUACUAAGAAUAAAGUUGUCUUAUUCUGUAACAAAAGUUCCUAUUCUGUGAGCAACUUAGAAGUACGUAUUUUGAGUCCACUUUCUACCUUAACAAGCUUUAGUUAAAAAUAUCCUAUGCUUCCAAGCUGGCAACAUAUAAGGGUGUUUAUAUUACACACAAUACAAAAUUGUACUGGUUUCCAGCAACCCUAGGCUUUAGACAGCCACUCUAGUCCUUUGGACAGUAGCAGGAAAGACAUAUAUUAACUCGGAUGGAUUUGCCGAUGCUACUUAAUGUACUGGAACAAAGUUACUCAGAGUUACCUGAAGCUCCCCUGCUUCACCCAGAUAACUACGUAUCUUAAAAGACCUACAUUUGCGCAUGAGCUGUGGUUCUUGUUAGACCAUUUACACCAGCGUUACUCCUUGAACAUCAACGAAUAUAUGCCAUAAAGUUAGUAUAGCAAAGUGAGCUCAAAAUUAGUUUCUGAACAUUGCGAAAGCAUUAGCAACACUCCGAACUUGGGGUGAGACUUGGCAUUUCCUGUUUAUGCUGUGUAUUAAGUUGAGUAGAGUUCACAUACAAGGAAGUCACUGCUUCAAGGGGAAAUGGUUGAGGGAGAUAGGAAAGGUGAAAGAAAUUACUGAGCCAUACUGGAUCCAUUAACUUCUAUGAAGUGCCACUGACAUAAGCUAAUGAUCUUGGUCUUGCAGCAGCAGCCUGAAUGAGGCACGUGCACUUGCUACCACAGAACGCGGGUACUACUACAAUAUCACUUCCCUUCUUAACCUUUCUUUUCUUUUUUAAACUGUUUCCCUUAAAAAGUCCCUUUUCUGAUCUCGUGCUAAAUUCAGCUGACUGCCCUAGGUAGUUAUUCCCAAUUGACUGAUCUCUGCAUGAGAGCAGAAUUAGGCCAGCUUUUAGCAAAAUAUCAUAAAAUUGGGGAUUUUCUGAUUAGUGUUACAGAAAUAGGGCAGGAAAGGACCGUAAUGCACCUUCUCUGCCAUCUGUAUAUCUGUGCCACAUCAGCAUCACUUCUCGCAGUUGUUUCUCUGACCUGUAGACCUCUAGUGAUGGAGAUUCCAAAAAUUCCCCAGGCAACUGAUUGCAGAUAAACCAAGAAGUUCAGAAUGAAAAAACAGAACAUGAAUUGAAAGAUCCUGACCCACUUCUGCAUGUCCAAGUUGUUCUUUGAUAUCACACUCCAUUUCACAGGGUAAGAGUGCAUGCUGCUUUACUGAAUUCCUUUUUGGAGAGUCAGAAUGAAUGCACAUAGGUGAAAUUCAGUGCAAAAAAGCUACUGAAUUAUGCUUUUGCAUACAUGUUUGAGAAAAUUGCUUUGGGCAGGAAUGCAGCUGGGCAUGGACAUUCAAAGGAGAAUAUCCAUUGGUGACUUUGCUGACAGUAAAACACACAUCUUAAAAACUAAGAGCACACACUUCGACAGAACCUCUCCUUUGGCCCUUCAGUCAAACCCAGUAUGCUCUAUGAAAUCAUGACUUUUGUUGGUUCCCUGCUUUAUGGAAGGGAGACAUAAAUAUUGAGGACUAGGAAUGGAAAUAACUCACAGAGAUACCAACCGUAUCCUGGGAUGUAGCAAAGCUUGUCCCCACUGAAACCCAGCCUUGAGGUCUCCAGUGACGCUGCUGAUCACUUACUAGGGAUUGAUUAACUACUUAUGUGUAGUUGUGACUGUGCCCAUGCUUUAAAACUUACUGUCUCCAAAGUUAAGCAAUUUGGCUUAGGAAAAAAAGAGUUGGUAACUUCUCUUGUGCAAUUCUGUUGUUCUACUGCUAUUACUUAUGUUACCUGGAUAGAGAUAGGUAUUUUUUUUCUUCCAGUCACAGCUGUGGAGAACUUUUACUAAGUGAGAGAGGCUAGAGAGUCCAAGUCAAGAAGGAAAAAACCUAAGGCUGAAUAAAGUCGCAAAUGGACAAAUUAAAGAAUUGGCCAGGGAAGGCAGAUGUUCUGCUGCUGUAUGUUUUGGUUAAAUUGCACUGGACAAAGGGCAGACACAUACAGCUCCCUAACCACCCCAAGCAAGUAGGAGUGAAUUUAUGUCUAAACCUUGUUAUUUUGGUUUUUCUUCCCUAAACAUGUAUGUUUCUAUGCAUCUCUGUUCAAAGCUUCUCUGCUCCCAGUUUUUGCUCACUCCUUUGUAAUUAUUCCAGUAGAACCAGUAACCCAACCCAGAAAUGCAUCUGCUUCAAGAACUGGUGAGCACUGAGGCAGUAAUUCAGCCACCUUUUGGUAAUGCUGCCUGUUUCUCUACAUAACAUCCUUUUUGCUUCUAAUGCAUACAUGACAAAGGAAAUAAGGACUUUGGUCCUUACUGUUUCCCCAGUCUUGGAAUAUCCACUUUUGUGCCAACCCUCUAAGACUACACACUGUAAAUAAUUCAUUACUCACACAAAAGGGCAAAAGUGCUCUCAAAUCUUAUUAACGUAAUGCUUCUUAACCCCUUUUUAAAUCUUGUCUUAUAGAAAGAAACUACUACAGCUAUAUUUGUAUUUAGACCUACAUAUGUGAAAUAUCUUUCAGAUUAAACAUAGAGAGAGUACUUUGACAAUUUUAAUUUCCCACAGGAUCUUAAUUUCCUCUCUCCAAUUUCUUAUUAACAGAUCGGUCACAGAGGUCUCAACUUAAAGACUAUGAGAGUGAGCUAUAUUUAGAUUCCCUGCCCUAAACCCAUCAAUUAUAAUACAAACUAUUUUUUAUUUUAUUAUUCUCACCAACUCCAGAAGUUUUUUAUCAAAAUAAUUGUUUAAAGAAAUCAAGAAACAAGCAAAGGAUGACUAGAGAGCACCCUGAGGUCAACACAAGAUCCUUCUAUCUCUAAGACACAGAGUGAAAAUUUUGAGAUGCUGGCAUUUCUCCCCACUGUAAAACAGUCUCCUUUGUGAAAUGCCCGUAUAUAUCAAUGUAGAUGCCUUCAUCUUCGUAGCACAACUCUUAACCUGAUCAUCAUCGAUACACAGCCCAAAGAACAGAGGCGUUUACAUAAUGUUUUGGAGUAUCUUACGUGUGUUGGAAGGUACAGGUCAUACACAGAUCCAGAGUCCACAUCAAUAGCAUGAAAGCCUACUAGUGAGCCGUAUAUGACUUUUAAUCUUUGUCCAUUUUCAACGGUCAGGUCAACUGACAGUGGUUUGUGAUGAAGUGAGGUAAAGGACUGGAAAAAGAAAAAUACACUGUGUAGCACAAUAAAGCUGUUGGUUUACAGAUCUACA
This is a long non-coding RNA of Strigops habroptila (Kakapo), 4238 nucleotides long. RefSeq lists it as uncharacterized. The transcript is spliced from 4 exons. NCBI's taxonomy places the organism in Eukaryota, Metazoa, Chordata, Aves, Psittaciformes, Psittacidae. The record is from RefSeq and is a predicted model, not a curated record.